This 2787-nucleotide ribosomal RNA is filed under the name Escherichia coli. Its description in RNAcentral is "bacterial LSU rRNA". It matches the Rfam family "Bacterial large subunit ribosomal RNA". Lineage: Bacteria; Pseudomonadati; Pseudomonadota; Gammaproteobacteria; Enterobacterales; Enterobacteriaceae. The record is from RNAcentral.
AGCGUACACGGUGGAUGCCCUGGCAGUCAGAGGCGAUGAAGGACGUGCUAAUCUGCGAUAAGCGUCGGUAAGGUGAUAUGAACCGUUAUAACCGGCGAUUUCCGAAUGGGGAAACCCAGUGUGAUUCGUCACACUAUCAUUAACUGAAUCCAUAGGUUAAUGAGGCGAACCGGGGGAACUGAAACAUCUAAGUACCCCGAGGAAAAGAAAUCAACCGAGAUUCCCCCAGUAGCGGCGAGCGAACGGGGAGCAGCCCAGAGCCUGAAUCAGUGUGUGUGUUAGUGGAAGUGUCUGGAAAGGCGCGCGAUACAGGGUGACAGCCCCGUACACAAAAAUGCACAUGCUGUGAGCUCGAUGAGUAGGGCGGGACACGUGGUAUCCUGUCUGAAUAUGGGGGGACCAUCCUCCAAGGCUAAAUACUCCUGACUGACCGAUAGUGAACCAGUACCGUGAGGGAAAGGCGAAAAGAACCCCGGCGAGGGGAGUGAAAAAGAACCUGAAACCGUGUACGUACAAGCAGUGGGAGCACGCUUAGGCGUGUGACUGCGUACCUUUUGUAUAAUGGGUCAGCGACUUAUAUUCUGUAGCAAGGUUAACCGAAUAGGGGAGCCGAAGGGAAACCGAGUCUUAACUGGGCGUUAAGUUGCAGGGUAUAGACCCGAAACCCGGUGAUCUAGCCAUGGGCAGGUUGAAGGUUGGGUAACACUAACUGGAGGACCGAACCGACUAAUGUUGAAAAAUUAGCGGAUGACUUGUGGCUGGGGGUGAAAGGCCAAUCAAACCGGGAGAUAGCUGGUUCUCCCCGAAAGCUAUUUAGGUAGCGCCUCGUGAAUUCAUCUCCGGGGGUAGAGCACUGUUUCGGCAAGGGGGUCAUCCCGACUUACCAACCCGAUGCAAACUGCGAAUACCGGAGAAUGUUAUCACGGGAGACACACGGCGGGUGCUAACGUCCGUCGUGAAGAGGGAAACAACCCAGACCGCCAGCUAAGGUCCCAAAGUCAUGGUUAAGUGGGAAACGAUGUGGGAAGGCCCAGACAGCCAGGAUGUUGGCUUAGAAGCAGCCAUCAUUUAAAGAAAGCGUAAUAGCUCACUGGUCGAGUCGGCCUGCGCGGAAGAUGUAACGGGGCUAAACCAUGCACCGAAGCUGCGGCAGCGACGCUGAUGCGUUGUUGGGUAGGGGAGCGUUCUGUAAGCCUGCGAAGGUGUGCUGUGAGGCAUGCUGGAGGUAUCAGAAGUGCGAAUGCUGACAUAAGUAACGAUAAAGCGGGUGAAAAGCCCGCUCGCCGGAAGACCAAGGGUUCCUGUCCAACGUUAAUCGGGGCAGGGUGAGUCGACCCCUAAGGCGAGGCCGAAAGGCGUAGUCGAUGGGAAACAGGUUAAUAUUCCUGUACUUGGUGUUACUGCGAAGGGGGGACGGAGAAGGCUAUGUUGGCCGGGCGACGGUUGUCCCGGUUUAAGCGUGUAGGCUGGUUUUCCAGGCAAAUCCGGAAAAUCAAGGCUGAGGCGUGAUGACGAGGCACUACGGUGCUGAAGCAACAAAUGCCCUGCUUCCAGGAAAAGCCUCUAAGCAUCAGGUAACAUCAAAUCGUACCCCAAACCGACACAGGUGGUCAGGUAGAGAAUACCAAGGCGCUUGAGAGAACUCGGGUGAAGGAACUAGGCAAAAUGGUGCCGUAACUUCGGGAGAAGGCACGCUGAUAUGUAGGUGAAGUCCCUCGCGGAUGGAGCUGAAAUCAGUCGAAGAUACCAGCUGGCUGCAACUGUUUAUUAAAAACACAGCACUGUGCAAACACGAAAGUGGACGUAUACGGUGUGACGCCUGCCCGGUGCCGGAAGGUUAAUUGAUGGGGUUAGCGCAAGCGAAGCUCUUGAUCGAAGCCCCGGUAAACGGCGGCCGUAACUAUAACGGUCCUAAGGUAGCGAAAUUCCUUGUCGGGUAAGUUCCGACCUGCACGAAUGGCGUAAUGAUGGCCAGGCUGUCUCCACCCGAGACUCAGUGAAAUUGAACUCGCUGUGAAGAUGCAGUGUACCCGCGGCAAGACGGAAAGACCCCGUGAACCUUUACUAUAGCUUGACACUGAACAUUGAGCCUUGAUGUGUAGGAUAGGUGGGAGGCUUUGAAGUGUGGACGCCAGUCUGCAUGGAGCCGACCUUGAAAUACCACCCUUUAAUGUUUGAUGUUCUAACGUGGACCCGUAAUCCGGGUUGCGGACAGUGUCUGGUGGGUAGUUUGACUGGGGCGGUCUCCUCCUAAAGAGUAACGGAGGAGCACGAAGGUUGGCUAAUCCUGGUCGGACAUCAGGAGGUUAGUGCAAUGGCAUAAGCCAGCUUGACUGCGAGCGUGACGGCGCGAGCAGGUGCGAAAGCAGGUCAUAGUGAUCCGGUGGUUCUGAAUGGAAGGGCCAUCGCUCAACGGAUAAAAGGUACUCCGGGGAUAACAGGCUGAUACCGCCCAAGAGUUCAUAUCGACGGCGGUGUUUGGCACCUCGAUGUCGGCUCAUCACAUCCUGGGGCUGAAGUAGGUCCCAAGGGUAUGGCUGUUCGCCAUUUAAAGUGGUACGCGAGCUGGGUUUAGAACGUCGUGAGACAGUUCGGUCCCUAUCUGCCGUGGGCGCUGGAGAACUGAGGGGGGCUGCUCCUAGUACGAGAGGACCGGAGUGGACGCAUCACUGGUGUUCGGGUUGUCAUGCCAAUGGCACUGCCCGGUAGCUAAAUGCGGAAGAGAUAAGUGCUGAAAGCAUCUAAGCACGAAACUUGCCCCGAGAUGAGUUCUCCCUGACUCCUUGA